GACGAACGCUGGCGGCGUGCCUAAUACAUGCAAGUAGAACGCACAGUUUAUACCGUAGCUUGCUACACCAUAGACUGUGAGUUGCGAACGGGUGAGUAACGCGUAGGUAACCUGCCUGGUAGCGGGGGAUAACUAUUGGAAACGAUAGCUAAUACCGCAUAAUAUUAAUUAUUGCAUGAUAAUUAAUUGAAAGGUGCAAUUGCACCACUACCAGAUGGACCUGCGUUGUAUUAGCUAGUAGGUGAGGUAACGGCUCACCUAGGCGACGAUACAUAGCCGACCUGAGAGGGUGAUCGGCCACACUGGGACUGAGACACGGCCCAGACUCCUACGGGAGGCAGCAGUAGGGAAUCUUCGGCAAUGGACGAAAGUCUGACCGAGCAGCGCCGCGUGAGUGAAGAAGGUUUUCGGAUCGUAAAGCUCUGUUGUAAGAGAAGAACGGGUGUGAGAGUGGAAAGUUCACACUGUGACGGUAUCUUACCAGAAAGGGACGGCUAACUACGUG
This 505-nucleotide ribosomal RNA is filed under the name uncultured bacterium. RNAcentral's name for it is "partial 16S ribosomal RNA". It matches the Rfam family "Bacterial small subunit ribosomal RNA", at positions 28 to 507 of the family's 1533-position model. The record is from RNAcentral.